Molecule: long non-coding RNA, 4175 nt
Organism: Lagenorhynchus albirostris (white-beaked dolphin)
Lineage: Eukaryota; Metazoa; Chordata; Mammalia; Artiodactyla; Delphinidae
Exons: 4
Source: RefSeq, a predicted model, not a curated record
CCUUUAGCUAGCCUCAGAAACUGAACCUCAGUUUCCUCAUCUAUAAAAUGGGGAUAAUAACACCUGUUCACCGCAUGGCACAUCCGUGAAAGUCAAAUGGGCCAAACAGCAAGAGGAAAAUGGACAGAGAAUGGCCUGAGUGCCUAAGAGGACCCAGGUCUGUCUGGCUCCAGAGGUCAUGCUUGUUUCUGGCCCUUUGUCUUCCCCCAGGGUGAUGGUGGGUGAAGAGGAAGCCUAUAGACCCAGGGGGCACAGACUCAAACUGGCUAGACCAGUUGGCGGUAACAAUGGGGACAGUGGGGUGUUGUGGACAAACAGGAACAGGAAGGACCGUGGUAAACAGGAGUGGGUGCUGCCACUCAGCUCAUCUAACUGAGACUGUGUAGGAACGUGGGCCCUGCACUUCCAGAUCUUCUGACCUUUCAGAAUAAGCUAGAGGAGUGUGUGUGUUCUUCUACAAUGUAAAGCUCCUGGGUCUUAAAAUGCGGCAAUUAAUUCAAGUUGUAAAAAUCACUCUGUGGAUCAGACACAGCAAGUCAGAGGUUAAACUUGUCCUUAGCUUGUCAGUUUAUAAACAGUGCUGCCAACAGCUGAGAUGCUACUGGCACUCCUGCCCCGCCCUGGUGCCCUGUUCCAACCCUGACAGGCUGCAUCUGACUCUCCAGCAUGGGUUUAAUCAUCAGUAUUCAUCAAAAGCUCCCUAGGUGCUUCUCACAGCACCCAGCAUGGAUGCCUACGUGCUGUGUCCAGCAAUGGCCAGGACCCUUCAAAGAGGCUGAGCUGAGGUUGGGACUCUUGGUUUCUCACACAACUUACUUCCCCUCUCCUGCAACAUCCUCAGCUGAAUGCAUGUCUGUGUGUCUGAAUCUUCCACGACGGUGAAGCCAGGUGAGACCAUUAGAUUCCAAAUAAAAGGCAUCCCAACAAUAGCUGGACUUGAGAAAUUUAUCAAGUUUAGUUCCAAUCAGGUGAAGGAGGUUCAUGCUGAGAAGACUGUUCUCAUCACAACUAGCCUUUGCCUGAUGCCUUGGAAAGAGGCAGCAGCUCUGACUGGCUCUAAGCCUUGGUUGAGCGUUUCAGCAUUUCCUGCUUUGGGAUUAGCUUUCAGAUAAUUAGAUUUUAUUACUCAUUAGAUUUCAGAUGAUUAGAUUUGAUUACUCAUAGGAGGGCAGAUUCAAGAGCCAGCUGGGUGAAAGCGUUCAAAGGCCAACACAAAUCACAGGCAGCAGGACCCACUAGGCCAGGUCGUGUGGAAUCACAGGGUAGCCUGUUGACAGCUAGAAACCCCCAGCCUGGGCCACAGAACCUCACCUCCCUGCCUUGAGUCAUGGCCUCGAAGAGCAGGGCCACCACUAUCUGCAGUCAGAACCAAAGGCGUCCACAGCCACAGAGUCUCUCCCUGGAGACACAGGCUAUCAGAAGCUGCUGCCCACUUGCCCCGUGAGGAGGGACCACCUCUUCAGCCCCAGAGUGCAUCAGCCCUGGAAGCACUAGCCAAGUAGAGUCUUCUGCCAGAACUGGUCUGGGCCUGCUGGAAAUGUAUUCUCUCCGCUCCUCCUCCUGCCUGAAAUCCCACCCCUCUUGCUUCCCUGAGGGGGGCCUACCUGAGGAAGAGCAGGUAGACGGGGCCUUUCCCUCGGAUCUCUGCACACACCGGGCCUGGGCCUGGGCCUGCCUGCCAAACCAGAAGCAGGACUGAGGGCCAAGUGCUGUCUGUUCACCUUUGACUUUCGACAACUUCAGGCAACUUGAAACUAUGGCACGUGAAACCCAACUUCACAGCCCCUACGCUUCCCCAUGGUUGGUGAGCCUUCGAGGCACCUGUAGUGUAGUAGGCAUGUCCAGUCUUCCACGUGGAAGGAGCCCCAGCCCCUUGGUGGUGGCGGAUGACCCAGUGGUCCCUCCUACUUGAUGACUGAUGGUGUUGGUAAGUUAAAAUCAGGAACCUUCAAGGGGGCCAAUGCGGGGGUGGGGGGAUGAGGGAGGGAGGGAGGAAGAUGGUGAACAGCCCCACCUCUCCUGGUGAGGGAGCCUGCAUACCUGCUCCCUCCAUACAGCCCCUGAACCUUCUCCAAGGAAGCCACAGCCUCCUCACCUGGUCCCAUCCAGACAUUUCACUCUCACUCUAACACCUGAAACAUCCCCCUCCUCCAGGCAGCGUUGGGAGUGAUCGGAGAGCACCCCUACCCCUCAUACCAGGCAGGCCCAUCCCAGGCCCUUACCCUGCUGAGCACUCCCAGCUCACACGCGGUGAGGACAGCCAGCCCUGUGCUCCCCGGACAUGCUGCUGGACCCCAGGUCCCCUUUUCAGGAAUGCCUUUCCUUGGGAACCAUCUUGGAUGUGGCCCUAGAUGUGGUCUGUGAAUUUGCUGAUCCUGUUGCUUCAGUUCCUCUCUCAUGGCCAAGGAGGUUCCCAAGGCCAGCCCUGCUCUGUUCUUCCAUCACCACCACACAACCUUAGUUCUCAAAAGCCAGGAGCCUGGGCCCCAACCUUCUCAAGAGAAGACAGACAUCCCAAGAAAGGACACAGGCCAGUUCUUUUCUGCCCCCAGGCUGCCCUAUUCAGAGCCUCCUUUGCUGGGUGAGGGUGCACAGGCUGUGAAGGGCGCCCAGCCUCGGAGAAUGGUUCCUGACAAUCCCUCAUGGGCAGAUGAGCUCAGAGCAAGUUUCUCAUCUUCCUCUGUCACCCCUAGUCCACCCCCAUCCCUGACCUGGUCCAACGUGGGGAGAGGGAGGAGGGGUCAGAGGACGGCAAGGCCAAGGGGGUGGUGUGAAGGGAGCAGUGGGUGCAGGGGAGUGAGUGGUGCGCAGGAGCCCUGUGGCGAUGAUGCCGGCACGUAGGAUGAUGCGGCUGCCUGGUGCCUGGCCCUCUCCCCACAGUAUCAUUCAUCUAUCACCUCCACAGAGUCCUCGUCCUUCCUCUGCUCUGAGUGCUCCUCUGUUGUUUCUGUGUUCUCAGUGUCUGACAGCGAUGCCACCUGUCGCACCCAGCCACUGUCACUGAGAGGCUUUGGAUGACGCAGUCCGGAGAAGGGGUUGAACCAGUUCAGGGAAAAGUCCCCACCAAAGGAGCAAGGGUGCCCGGCCAGCUGCUGCGCAGUGACCAGGCUGCCCAGUGGCUAAGGGCCAAGGAGUAACAUCUCAGGCCUCUGCAGGCAUGAGCUGGGCCAUCUGUCCGGAGACCACCCAGAAAGACAACCCCUCCCCAAGUAUCCUGGGCCACUCCCCCUACAGCAGGCGCAGCAAACCCAGCACGAAGGAGGAUGAUGCAGUUAAGGGGGACAGCAGGAGACACACGAAGCGUGAGGAGAAACUGAGAUACACGUACAGACUGAGAUCUGGCCACACCUGGGCCAGUUCCUCUCCACCACUCUUUCUUCCCACACCAUCUCAGAGGUUUAAGUUUCUUGGCUUUUGGAAAAAUGGUAGGUUAAAGAACCUGAUCUCAAAGUAUCUCCUCAUAAGAUACUUCCUAAUUACCGAGGGUAAAACAGUACCUUUACAGUAAGGAAACUUCGCAGAUAUAACUUUAACCAAUUGAAGUUAACAUCACCAAUAAUGAAAUGUAUCAACAUCACGUGCCCUCCGAUACGGUGCCCCAAGAAGGACAGAACAUCACUUCACUGGUUUUCCUGCCCAAAAGGCAUAAUCUCAAUCUAAUUAUGUGAAAACUUCAGACAAAUGCAGAUGUCAGGAUAUUCCACAGAAUAUCUUCAACAGGAUAAUAAUCUUUAACAGGAUCAAAGUCUGAUGAAAUUGUUUUGGAACCAGACAGAAGUGGUGGUUGUACAAUAUUAUGAAUGUACUAAAUGCCACUGAACCACACACUUUAAAAUGGUUGCUUUUAUGUGAUGUGAAUUUAACCUCAACUAGAAAGAGGAUCAGGUUCAUGAAAGACAGAGAAAGACUGAGGAGGAACUAAAGACACAGGACAAAGGAUGCAAUGUGGCAUCCUGGAACAGAGAACGAUACUAGUGGGACAACUGGAGAACUCUGAAUAAAGUAUAUAGAUUGGUUAAUGGUAUUGUAUCAGUAAAUUUCCAGGUUUUUAUAUUUGUGUUAUGGUUUUAUAAAAUGUUUACACUUGGAAAGACUGAUUGAAAGGCAUAUGGGAGCUCUUUGUACUAUUUUUACUAAUUUUUUUUUUUUGGUUAAGUCUGAAAUUAUUUCUCAAU